Long non-coding RNA from Glycine soja, 436 nucleotides. RefSeq lists it as uncharacterized. The record is from RefSeq and is a predicted model, not a curated record. The transcript has 3 exons. NCBI's taxonomy places the organism in Eukaryota, Viridiplantae, Streptophyta, Magnoliopsida, Fabales, Fabaceae.
AGGAAUCAAACAGUUGAUCAUCGGACUCAAAAAAGCAUGUCUGAGGGUUUGUCAGAAUUGGUGACAGUGUAGAAGCUAUGGAGCACUGCAGUUCUGUGCCUAUAUGAAGCUGGAAAGUAUAGUAGAGUGCGACUAUUGGAUUUGUUUUGUCAAGCUCUCAGUCAACAUUUAUACCUUUCAAGGGUUUCUGAUUGUGAUGUGGGGGAUGAAAAAGAUCGUGAUUUGUCCUCAACAAAUGAUCCCAGACAACAAUAUUCCAUCAUGAAAAGCGGUGGUAUUAUUGGCAAAAUAGUAUGCAAAGUGAGGGAUCUCCCUACAGGGAUGCUAUAUCAGUUGAUUGAGAGUUGGGAAAAACUUACUGCUGAUGUUUCAGAGGUAUGUUUAAACUUGAAUAUAUGGUUGUGGGGAAUGUUAAUUUUUCUGAAUUAACUUUUUU